GAUGAACGCUGGCGGCGUGCCUAAUACAUGCAAGUCGAGCGAACGGACGAGAAGCUUGCGUCUCUGAUGUUAGCGGCGGGCGGGUGAGUAACGCGUGUAUAACCUACCUAUAAGACUGGGAUAACUUCGGGAAACCGGAUCUAAUACCGGAUAAUAUUUUGAACCGCAUGGUUCAAAAGUGAAAUACGGUCUUGCGGUCACUUAUAGAUGGAUCCGCGCUGCAUGAGCUAGUUGGUAAGGUAACGGCUUACCAAGGCAACGAUGCAUAGCCGAACUGAUAGGCGGGUCGGCCACCUGGGAACUGAGACACGGUCAAGAGUCCUGCGGGAGGCCGCAGUCGGGAAUCUUACGCAACAGGCGGAAGUCUGACGGAGCAACCCCGCGCGAGAUAUGACGGCGUCGGGAUCGUAAAACCCUGUUAUUAGUGAAGAACCUCUGUGUCCGUAAAUGUGCCGAGCUUGACGGUAACUAAUAAGAAAGCACCGGCUAACUACGUG
This 497-nucleotide ribosomal RNA is filed under the name uncultured bacterium. RNAcentral's name for it is "partial 16S ribosomal RNA". It matches the Rfam family "Bacterial small subunit ribosomal RNA", at positions 28 to 507 of the family's 1533-position model. The record is from RNAcentral.